Molecule: ribosomal RNA, 242 nt
Filed under: uncultured bacterium
Lineage: Bacteria
Description: partial 16S ribosomal RNA
Rfam family: Bacterial small subunit ribosomal RNA
Source: RNAcentral
CAAGCGGUAUCCGGAUUCACUGGGUUUAAAGGGUGCGUAGGCGGGCAUGUAAGUCCGUGGUGAAAUCUCCGAGCUUAACUCGGAAACUGCCAUGGAUACUAUGUGUCUUGAAUGUUGUGGAGGUGAGCGGAAUAUGUCAUGUAGCGGUGAAAUGCUUAGAUAUGACAUAGAACACCAAUUGCGAAGGCAGCUCACUGCACAAAUAUUGACGCUGAGGCACGAAAGCGUGGGGAUCAAACAGG